This 421-nucleotide ribosomal RNA is filed under the name uncultured bacterium. RNAcentral describes it as "bacterial SSU rRNA". It matches the Rfam family "Bacterial small subunit ribosomal RNA", at positions 32 to 447 of the family's 1533-position model. The record is from RNAcentral.
AAUCAACGCUGGCGGCGUGCCUCAGACAUGCAAGUCGAACGAGAACCUCCCUUCGGGGAGGGGACAGUGGCGCACGGGUGAGUAACACGUGGGUAAUCUACCUUUGAGUGGGGAAUAACGUUCGGAAACGGACGCUAAUACCGCAUAAUGCAGCGGCAUCGCAAGAUGACAGUUGUUAAAGGAGCAAUCCGCUUAAAGAGGAGCUUGCGGCAGAUUAGCUUGUUGGUAAGGAACGGCUUACCAAGGCUACGAUCUGUAUCCGGUCUAAGAGGACGGUCGGACACACUGACACUGAAUAACGGGUCAGACUCCUACGGGAGGCAGCAGUCGGGAAUUUUGGGCAAUGGGCGAAAGCCUGACCCAGCAACGCCGCGUGAAGGAUGAAGUAUUUCGGUAUGUAAACUUCGAAAGAAUAAGGAAG